RNAcentral lists this long non-coding RNA (282 nucleotides) under Elaeis guineensis (African oil palm). RNAcentral's name for it is "long non-coding RNA (EGUI_LNC054721)". Lineage: Eukaryota; Viridiplantae; Streptophyta; Magnoliopsida; Arecales; Arecaceae. The record is from RNAcentral.
GUUGCCUUGACCUAAUGUGAUUUGGUUUGAACCAUCUAAUUUAUCAGUUAGUUUUAUCUGAUUUUGUGAAAGUGUUUCAUGUAGAAUAAACCUCCUCCAUGUCAAACCACACACAUAAAUUUGGGUGGCAUCAUAUUUAUUUUUGGAUUUAAGAAGGAGAGUCCUUCUUUCAUACUUAUCUUAAAAUUCUUACAUCUUCCAUGCAUCCCUUUAUUUUUGUGUGCCAUCAGAUGGCACCUUGAGAUCUGGGAUGUGGAAGAGGAGAGGGAGUCCUUCACUAGG